CCUACGGGAGGCUGCAGUGGGGAAUAUUGGACAAUGGGGGGAACCCUGAUCCAGCCAUGCCGCGUGUGUGAAGAAGGCCUUUUGGUUGUAAAGCACUUUAAGUGGGGAGGAGGCUUACCUGGUUAAUACCUGGGCUAAGUGGACGUUACCCACAGAAUAAGCACCGGCUAACUCUGUGCCAGCAGCCGCGGUAAUACAGAGGGUGCGAGCGUUAAUCGGAUUUACUGGGCGUAAAGCGCGCGUAGGUGGUUAAUUAAGUCAAAUGUGAAAUCCCCGAGCUUAACUUGGGAAUUGCAUUCGAUACUGGUUAGCUAGAGUAUGGGAGAGGAUGGUAGAAUUCCAGGUGUAGCGGUGAAAUGCGUAGAGAUCUGGAGGAAUACCGAUGGCGAAGGCAGCCAUCUGGCCUAAUACUGACACUGAGGUGCGAAAGCAUGGGGAGCAAACAGGAUUAGAUACCCCUGUAGUC
This 466-nucleotide ribosomal RNA is filed under the name uncultured Acinetobacter sp. Its description in RNAcentral is "bacterial SSU rRNA". It matches the Rfam family "Bacterial small subunit ribosomal RNA", at positions 338 to 795 of the family's 1533-position model. Lineage: Bacteria; Pseudomonadati; Pseudomonadota; Gammaproteobacteria; Moraxellales; Moraxellaceae. The record is from RNAcentral.